This is a long non-coding RNA of Eriocheir sinensis (Chinese mitten crab), 1045 nucleotides long. RefSeq lists it as uncharacterized. The record is from RefSeq and is a predicted model, not a curated record. Lineage: Eukaryota; Metazoa; Arthropoda; Malacostraca; Decapoda; Varunidae. The transcript is spliced from 2 exons.
GGACAACCUUAAAACUGUCCUUUUCUGUCCUAUUUCUAAAAUCCAUGCUAGGUUCAUAAAUAUAAAUUUCAAUAAGGAUUAUUCAGCAAUAAAUCACAUAUAAUAAUGUUGCAGGUACGUGUACUGGCGGGUGUAGCACCGGUCGAACACGUCCAGGACGCAUCACUUUCAUGUUAAUGUUAAAACUAAAGCAAGAAACAAACUCAGUUCAGGAUCUCUUGAGGCCAUCCUAAGAGUCAGAACACACCUACACAGAUCGAGGAAACUGCUACCAAAGUUUUACAGUAAGCAACAAAAUGCUGCCCUAUUCAACAGCAACAUGUACAGAAAGGAAGGUAUUGGAGAAUGUAGUGCAUCAGGAUCUGCUUCUGCUACCACGUCAGCAGUACCUGAUGGCGACGAGGAUAAUGAAGUGGACUCCUAUGAAGAAAUUCUGUCAAUUCAGUAUUGAAACAUGUAAAGUAAAAUUCUGUUCAUAGCUUUGUUUCCCAAAAAUUAUACUCCUGCUGCAUAACUUGUGUUGUUAAUCAUUAACAUAGCCUAUUAUUUUUAAUAAAAUCUGCUGACUGAAGAGUGAGGGGGUGACUGUUAAAGAAAUUUAAAGAAAAAACAUAUAUGUACCAUAUUAAUAAACGAUCAAUAGGCAAAAGGAAAUUAAUAUAUAUGUUUGUCCUUUUCUGUCCUUUUUUCGGGAUGAGUCUGUCCAUUUUCAGCUACACGUCUGGCAACGCUGCCUCUCCCUGCUCUUCCCUCGGCCACUCGCUCGGAGCAUCUUGGCGGGGAUGCUGGGUGUACUUGUGUCUGUUCCUCCCUCCCCACUGCCGCUGGCUCCUCUGAUGGAAGAGAAACCUGACACCUCCAAGCAUCACACGUCUUGCAGUGGGGCGGGGCGAGGAUGAGUAUGGGGCGCAUCAGCUGAUCUGAGGCAUAACCACCAACCAUCACGGGCUUCACACCUGAACACUUGUGAAUAAUGAGUGUUAUAAGGAGAGAGUCUGCCGUGAAAAUAUGAAAAUAAUUUUCAAAAAAUACAAAAAUUGAUUUG